GGAAAAUUAAAGUGGCAAACAUUUUUCAGGCCAACUUCUUUCCCUUUUUUUUUUCUUUCUCUGGUGGGUUUGCUGAUGUCCUCAAGUAGUAGCAACACAUGGAAUAGGAAGAACCUUAAAAGUGUAGUAGGAGGAGUUUCCUUGAUCUGCUCGGCCCGUUUCCCUCUCUUUAAAAUCUUUGGGAUCCCUGAAUUUGAAUUUCAAAAAUCAAUGCCAAAACAUCAGGGAGACAACAGCAGCAGUUCGCAUAGAUAUCCCUCCUUCCUACCACCACGGGAUCAAAACAAUCCAAAUGGGGGUCGUAACUCCUGGAAUUCCACAAGACAUCCCCUCCUAUCAUGUAUAUUUAAAUCUUUUCAACAGACGAAUGCUGACGAUGGCCGCCUAGUUUCACACCUGAUCUUCGCUGCUGGAUGUUUUCCGCUCCUCUAGGCAAAUGCUGACUGGCGGCUGUACACUUCGUAUUGCCCAUUUGUGUGUAUCUAUGCAUCCCACCUUAAGAAAAAGUGUUCCCUAUGCACAAAACGCAGCGUGUGGGUCGACUUGUUUUGUUUCGUUUCGUUUUCCUUUUAUUGUUUGUCCGCUCGAGACCAGUUGACAAGAGAGAUGACAAGUUUUUUCAAGGUUCGAUUCUUAACUCUCUCUCUCUGUCUCUCGGCUGUAUGUAUAUAGAUGCAUGUAUAGCUCUUGGCUAACAACAGGUACGUGUUGUCGAAGAAGGGAUAAUGAGAUUCCGCUCCUAGAUAAGUAGAAUAUAUGCAGGAAUUAGUCAUCGACUUUUCGGACUGCGUGUUUUGGGACCCGGUCGCAGGAGACAAGGGCAGACGAGAGAAGAAUAAGGAAAAACGGACCAGUCGUCACUGCGAAAAGGCGGUUUGACUUUUAUUUUGUACGUUUCUUUUUUCUUUUCUUUAAAGAAUAACAUUGACGGAUGACAGUGUUUCUUCUUCCAUCUACCAUAAGACAACAUGAAGAAGGAGGGGGGAUACACAAACAACUGGAGUGGUGCUUCCCUCCUGCUGUUAACUCUUUUUCCUUCGUUUUAUAACCCAAAACAUUUUUUUUUUUUUUUGGGAACCACUCUGUGAACAUCAAACGUUUUCGAAAAUACAUAUACUUGAUUAUCUUCUU
Long non-coding RNA from Daphnia magna, 1131 nucleotides. RefSeq lists it as uncharacterized. NCBI's taxonomy places the organism in Eukaryota, Metazoa, Arthropoda, Branchiopoda, Diplostraca, Daphniidae. The transcript has 2 exons. The record is from RefSeq and is a predicted model, not a curated record.